RNAcentral lists this ribosomal RNA (225 nucleotides) under uncultured bacterium. RNAcentral's name for it is "partial 16S ribosomal RNA". It matches the Rfam family "Bacterial small subunit ribosomal RNA", at positions 524 to 747 of the family's 1533-position model. The record is from RNAcentral.
GACAGAGGGUGCAAACGUUGCUCGGAAUCACUGGGCGUAAAGGGCGUGUAGGCGGGAAGGAAAGUCGGGCGUGAAAUCCCUGGGCUCAACCCAGGAACUGCACUCGAAACUUCUUUUCUUGAGUGCCGGAGAGGAAAGCGGAAUUCCUGGUGUAGAGGUGAAAUUCGUAGAUAUCAGGGAGGAACACCAGUGGCGAAGGCGGCUUUCUGGACGGUAACUGACGCU